Molecule: ribosomal RNA, 301 nt
Filed under: uncultured bacterium
Lineage: Bacteria
Description: partial 16S ribosomal RNA
Rfam family: Bacterial small subunit ribosomal RNA
Source: RNAcentral
CAGUAGCCGCGGGAAUACAGAGGGUGCUAGCGUUAAUCGGAUUUACUGGGCGUAAAGCGUGCGUAGGCGGCUUCUUAAGUCGGAUGUGAAAUCCCUGAGCUUAACUUAGGAAUUGCAUUCGAUACUGGGAAGCUAGAGUAUGGGAGAGGAUGGUAGAAUUCCAGGUGUAGAGGUGAAAUGCGUAGAGAUCUGGAGGAAUACCGAUGGCGAAGGCAGCCAUCUGGCCUAAUACUGACGCUGAGGUACGAAAGCAUGGGGAGCAAACAGGAUUAGAUACCCCGGUAGUCCCUGUCUCUUAUAC